GUGAACGCUGGCGGUAGGCCUAACACAUGCAAGUCGAACGGCAGCACAGUAAGAGCUUGCUCUUACGGGUGGCGAGUGGCGGACGGGUGAGGAAUACAUCGGAAUCUACUUUUUCGUGGGGGAUAACGUAGGGAAACUUACGCUAAUACCGCAUACGACCUACGGGUGAAAGCAGGGGAUCUUCGGACCUUGCGCGAUUGAAUGAGCCGAUGUCGGAUUAGCAAGUUGGCGGGGUAAAGGCCCACCAAGGCGACGAUCCGUAGCUGGUCUGAGAGGAUGAUCAGCCACACUGGAACUGAGACACGGUCCAGACUCCUACGGGAGGCAGCAGUGGGGAAUAUUGGACAAUGGGCGCAAGCCUGAUCCAGCCAUACCGCGUGGGUGAAGAAGGCCUUCGGGUUGUAAAGCCCUUUUGUUGGGAAAGAAAAGCAGCAGGUUAAUACCCCGCUGUUCUGACGGUACCCAAAGAACAAGCACCGGCUAACUUCGUG
This 491-nucleotide ribosomal RNA is filed under the name uncultured bacterium. RNAcentral describes it as "partial 16S ribosomal RNA". It matches the Rfam family "Bacterial small subunit ribosomal RNA", at positions 29 to 507 of the family's 1533-position model. The record is from RNAcentral.